Non-coding RNA from Schistosoma mansoni, 46 nucleotides. The record is from Rfam. Lineage: Eukaryota; Metazoa; Platyhelminthes; Trematoda; Strigeidida; Schistosomatidae.
GCACUACUGAGGAGUCCCACAAUAGGACGAAACGGCCGUCCAGUUC